Molecule: ribosomal RNA, 411 nt
Filed under: Theileria velifera
Lineage: Eukaryota; Apicomplexa; Aconoidasida; Piroplasmida; Theileriidae
Description: SSU rRNA
Rfam family: Eukaryotic small subunit ribosomal RNA
Source: RNAcentral
UGACACAGGGAGGUAGUGACAAGAAAUAACAAUACGGGGCUUAAUGUCUUGUAAUUGGAAUGAUGGGAAUUUAAACCUCUUCCAGAGUAUCAAUUGGAGGGCAAGUCUGGUGCCAGCAGCCGCGGUAAUUCCAGCUCCAAUAGCGUAUAUUAAAAUUGUUGCAGUUAAAAAGCUCGUAGUUGAAUUUCUGCUACAUUGCCUAUUCUCCUUUACGAGUUUGGGUCUUUUGUGGCUUAUCUGGGUUCGCUUGCGUUCCCGGUGUUUUACUUUGAGAAAAUUAGAGUGCUCAAAGCAGGCUUUUGCCUUGAAUAGUUUAGCAUGGAAUAAUAAAGUAGGACUUUGGUUCUAUUUUGUUGGUUUUAGGUACCAAAGUAAUGGUUAAUAGGAACAGUUGGGGGCAUUCGUAUUUAA